GUCCUCGAUCUGCUGCGGGCAGAUGAAAUGGAUAUGCGCGUCGAACCCGCCAGCGGUCAGGAUUUUCCCUUCGCCCGCAAUGGCUUCGGUGCCCGGCCCGAUGAUGAUGUCGACAUUCGGCUGGGUGUCGGGAUUGCCCGCCUUGCCGAUCGCGACGAUCUGCCCACCCUUGAGGCCCACGUCGGCCUUGUAGAUGCCGGUAUGGUCCACGAUCAGCGCGUUGGUGAUCACGGUGUCGACCGCGCCGCCCGCGCGGGAGAUCUGGCUCUGGCCCAUCCCGUCGCGGAU
Non-coding RNA from Thioclava pacifica DSM 10166, 288 nucleotides. The record is from Rfam. NCBI's taxonomy places the organism in Bacteria, Pseudomonadati, Pseudomonadota, Alphaproteobacteria, Rhodobacterales, Paracoccaceae.